Molecule: ribosomal RNA, 119 nt
Filed under: Pteropus alecto (black flying fox)
Lineage: Eukaryota; Metazoa; Chordata; Mammalia; Chiroptera; Pteropodidae
Source: RNAcentral
GUCUACGGCCAUGCCACCCUGAACAAGCCCAAUCCCAUCUGAUCUUGGAAGCUAAGCCAGGUCGGGCCUGGUUAGUACUUGGAUGGGAGACCACCUAGAAAGACCAGGUGCUGUAGGCA